AGUCGAGCGGAUGAAGAGAGCUUGCUCUCUGAUUCAGCGGCGGAGGGGUGAGUAAUGCCUAGGAAUCUGCCUGGUAGUGGGGGACAACGUCUCGAAAGGGACGCUGAUACCGCAUACGUCCUACGGGAGAAAGCAGGGGACCUUCGGGCCUUGCGCUAUCAGAUGAGCCUAGGUCGGAUUAGCUAGUUGGUGAGGUAAUGGCUCACCAAGGCGACGAUCCGUAACUGGUCUGAGAGGAUGAUCAGUCACACUGGAACUGAGACACGGUCCAGACUCCUACGGGAGGCAGCAGUGGGGAAUAUUGGACAAUGGGCGAGAAGCCUGAUCCAGCCAUGCCGCGUGUGUGAGGAAGGUCUUCGGAUUGUAAAGCACUUUAAGUUGGGAGGAAGGGCAUUAACCUAAUACGUUGAUGUUUUGACGUUACCGACAGAAUAAGCACCGGCUAACUCUGUGCCAGCAGCCGCGGUAAUACAGAGGGUGCAAGCGUUAAUCGGAAUUACUGGGCGUAAAGCGCGCGUAGGUGGUUUGUUAAGUUGAAUGUGAAAUCCCCGGGCUCAACCUGGGAACUGCAUCCAAAACUGGCAAGCUAGAGUAGGGCAGAGGGUGGUGGAAUUUCCUGUGUAGCGGUGAAAUGCGUAGAUAUAGGAA
Molecule: ribosomal RNA, 648 nt
Filed under: bacterium 56-L049642-122-014-H07
Lineage: Bacteria
Description: bacterial SSU rRNA
Rfam family: Bacterial small subunit ribosomal RNA
Source: RNAcentral